GGUGAGGUGGCCGAGCGGUCUAAGGCGCCAGACUAAGGUGUUGUGGACCGAACAUUUGGUGUGUUCGCGUGUCACGUGAUCUGGUCCGAAAGGGCGCGAGUUCGAAUCUCGCCCUCAUCA
Fomitopsis serialis is the source of this 120-nucleotide non-coding RNA. Lineage: Eukaryota; Fungi; Basidiomycota; Agaricomycetes; Polyporales; Fomitopsidaceae. The record is from the annotation of a RefSeq genome assembly.